Molecule: long non-coding RNA, 2401 nt
Filed under: Homo sapiens (human)
Lineage: Eukaryota; Metazoa; Chordata; Mammalia; Primates; Hominidae
Description: HSALNT0037639
Source: RNAcentral
AAGAAGGGUUGCCUGAGGGGCUCCUGACAGCCUCUUCCCUCUCCUCCCCAAGGCCCCCACAUCCAGCCUGCAGACAGGCUCUUACCUGGCCAUGGGCAGUGGUACCCAGCAGGGCAGGGGAGGCACUCCGCCUGACUAUGGCCUCCAUCUGUUGCCAGGUUCAGCAGCCUGAACGGGGGCUUGGCUCUGGCUCUCCAGUCCUCAUCCAUGAUGCCCCAGAACUCAACCUUCCAUCUGAGAGCUGAACUCGCUCCUCCAAUGUUCUCUGAAUAAUGGAAGUGUCAGAGCAGAGGGAUUCAAGGAUCCUGGCCAAGGAUCAGCUGCCCUAUCUGCCUUCACAUGUUCCUGAGGACCCAGAGACUCCAGGCUGCCCCCUGACCACUGGAGAUGGCUGCAAAGGGGGCGUCCUCUGGAAGAUGGUCAGCAGCCUCUAGAGGAAGCAGACAUCCUGGACGCUGACCUCCAGGGCCUAAUGCUCUGCCCCCUCUCCUGACCUGCACCUCGAGGGGGAUGUGUAGAGGGUCUGCUCUGGGAGUCUUGGCUGUGGCCCCCACCUACCCAAGAAAGCCAAUGCCCACGAUCAGCUCAGCUUCUGGGUGGCCCAUGGGGCACCAUUCGGUGUCCACUGACUGCAACCCCCUCCCCCCAACACCCGUCCUCUCUGUCCACCUCCCGGCAAACCUGUGGUGGAUUCAGCAGGUCUGAGUGAGACAGAGGUGGGCUGGGAGGCCGCAGGUGUGACCGUAAAUGGGCAGGGCAGCCAGACCACAGCACGCCUCAGCCAUCUGACUCCAGCCCCUCUUACAUACGUCCCCUCCAUCCUCAAACCACCCACAGCCCAUCGGUGCCAAACCAUGAGAGCCCCCACCUCAGGGCGUUGGGUGGUACAGGGCUCACCCGCUCCCAGGGGGCUCCACACCUGUCGGGGUUGGGGAGGAGGCUCCUGCCAGACAGAAGUAGCCGGGGGAGCAGGGGCCAGAGGGCGCAGCCAGGCCAGAGGCACCACAGAAAUGGCCAGGGGGACAGGACAGGCCUCUCUGAAAGGGUGGACCCAGGCGCACCCUGGCAGAGACCACCUUUCCGCGAUUUCCUUUUCAUCUCUCCUCUCUCAGGCUCCCUGUGACUCCUGCCUACACUGGCUCCAGGUAGCAUUUCCGGCAGGUGCCUGAGGGAAAGUGUGGCAGGGCUCUUCUCUCUGUCUCUCUUUCCCCUCUGAGAUAUGCACCUGGUUAUAAUUCUUCUCUGUCUUAAUCCCAAUUCAAGCUCAGGCCGUCCAGGGCCACAGACCUCUGUGAUCUGGCAGCUACAAUCAGAACAUCUAACAGUGCCCCACACUACCCCCCGCCCUCCCCUGAGCCAUCAGCUCCACGACUGGCCCUUGCUUUGGGCUGUCUUCUCUUGGGAGCUGGGAGGGUCCUAAAGAUGAGGAGAUGGGUCUGGUCUCAAAAGAGAUAUCGGCAGACACAAAUUCUUAAUGGCUUUGCUUUCUUGAGUAUGACGUGUUCUCAAGCCCCUCAAAGCCCGCAUGGCCUGCCCUCGAUCUGGCCCCUCCAACCGACACUCCCCAAGGCUUUCUGCCCUCGCAGCCCAGGUGGAAGUCCGGCUCUCCAAGCCUCACACUCUCCCAUGGCUGGGGGAUGUUGUUGGUCAGCUGUUAAGUGGAAAGGAGGACCGAGAGGAGGUCUGGGCUCAGCCCCUGGGACCAGGGCAGUGGCACUCAUACUCACUAACCUGAGAAGGUGCCCAUAGGGCAGGGCAGGGCCACCCCUGUGCCCACUGGACAGAAGUGACCUAGAGGGCAGGGCCCUCCCGCAGUCACAUGGAUGCCUUUAUUGGGAUGAGUGACCUCAGCUCUUGCCCAGAGAAUCAGAAGUGGCUGAGAUUGCAGAGCAGCCCUCCCUGGCCCCCACUCAGGCUCUCGACCACCCCCAGCUCACACACCCCUGCAGUGGGACAUUUCCCAGAAUAAGGGAGCAGAGCUCGCGAGCUGGAGUGACAGUGCCCUCCACUGCCAGGGUGGCUCUCAAGCCCAGGGACGGCAGUGGGCCCUGAGAUGCGGCCCCUUCUGAAUUAAUUCUUGGCUAUCUGUGCCAGACCCUGCUUAGGAGCCCAAAGCUGGGGAGAAAGCAUGGGGGUUCCAGGACUUGCCCAUCCUGUGGAAAGGUGGGUGUGGUGCCUUCAGCCCCACUCUUGGUGUGGAGGGCACUGCAAGGCACUGAAGAGUUGGGGCUCCAGACCCCACUCAGGGAGCCUCCAGAUGAGUGUUCUAGAAACCUGCUUCCACUCCAGCUAAGCUUGUUUUCAUUUACAUAUUCAUUAUGUCAUCACUUAUGGUUUGCUCAAACCCUUUCUGAAUGAGAUGGACCUAAUUUAAUAAAAAUUACACUGACAAGUACUCUAA